RNAcentral lists this ribosomal RNA (228 nucleotides) under uncultured bacterium. Its description in RNAcentral is "partial 16S ribosomal RNA". It matches the Rfam family "Bacterial small subunit ribosomal RNA", at positions 15 to 224 of the family's 1533-position model. The record is from RNAcentral.
CAUCCUGGCUCAGGAUGAACGCUGGCGGCGUGCCUAACACAUGCAAGUCGAACGGAGUCGUUUUGGAAAUCUCUUCGGAGAUGGAAUUCUCGACUUAGUGGCGGACGGGUGAGUAACGCGUGAGCAAUCUGCCUUUGAGAGGGGGAUAACAGUCGGAAACGGCUGCUAAUACCGCAUAAAGCAUCAAAUUCGCAUGUUUUUGAUGCCAAAGGAGCAAUCCGCUUUUAG